AGGGGUUUGGGGUGGGACAAUGUUAUGUAAAAAGUAACCCUUUGCCUCCCCAGGCAUGUCACAACAUCUGCUAAUUUUUUUCAAAUUUUAAUUAGGAGCUUAAAAUGUUUUUCAAACUUACACCAUAAAAUCUCACCUCCUCCACAGAGCACCCGCUUUGCUUUGUGGGACGCUAAAACUCAAUAACAAAACACAUUAAGCAAACAAACAAACAAAAAAAAAUUAAAAACAAACACUUAAAUCUCGAACCACAGCCGGACAAAUUAAACAGUGAUGGUAUUUAAUACAAAUAUAAUGUUUUUUUAGUUCAGUCUCUUCCAGUUUAGGAUUCUCUUUUAGGAAGGGUACAGCUCUUAGAUCUCCUCUCACACGGGGCAGAGUUCUUCGAUCUCCAGUUUCGGCUCUGGUUCCCAUGUGGGCGUCGCCCCUUUAGAUGUUCUCGGUGAAACCCUGGCUUUCGACCUCAGGUUACAGUUUCGAUCUCCCAGGAGGAAGUGUUGCCCACGAUGGAAAAGGCACAGCCCCCAGGGGUGGAGCAGCCGAACAAAUGGCUGGGAGUGAAGCAGGAGUUACUGGGGGAAGGGAAGGUUCGGGACCGGAAAAGACGGAGCAAGGCGGGAAACAAGGGAUCCCAGACCGCAUGGCCGGCGCCAUCUUGGAAAGGGGGGGGUGGUCCGGGACGGACUUUUCCAGACCGGGAACGGGGAAUGUGGCAAGACAGGGGGUGAAGGAGGACACGGAACAGCGGGCAGACGGCAGCAGACCCGCACCACUCUGGAUGUUCUCCGUCCCUUGCCUGCCUUCAGGAAAACAGGGGAUGGGAUGGCAAAAGACACCGGGGUGACGGGGAGACGGCAGCAGCCCCGAGCAAUCUUGGCUUUUCUCACCCUUUGUCCUGCCCUUAGGAGCAUAGGAGAGGGGAAGGUACAGUUUAAAAACAAGAGCUGGUGCUUGCCUCACGAGCCAACAUUUUACCUAUGGAAAUCGCCAUGGCCUGGGUGAAGUGAAAGGAAUCUCACCUACCUGCAAGGACAGGUUCCUUGGCAGUGACUCCUGCAUCUAUCACAGCUCCAUUCUGCAGCACAAAGGAGAUUAUUCAGAUCUAUAGUUCUGUCAAAUGACACUCCUUAAGAUAUUGUGUAAGCUUAAAAGGUGAAUUUAUGCUCUGGCUUAUAUACCUCUUUAUGCCUGAGGCACUUUGAUGUAUAAAAAUAUUUCAAUAAAAGCAAAUAAACACAUACACCCACCACUUGCUGGGGCCAUGAGCUCUGAGAGUUAUUUUGUGUUUUGUUA
Long non-coding RNA from Cyanistes caeruleus (blue tit), 1293 nucleotides. RefSeq lists it as uncharacterized. The record is from RefSeq and is a predicted model, not a curated record. NCBI's taxonomy places the organism in Eukaryota, Metazoa, Chordata, Aves, Passeriformes, Paridae.